Molecule: unclassified non-coding RNA, 391 nt
Filed under: soil metagenome
Description: partial contains 5.8S ribosomal RNA, internal transcribed spacer 2, and large subunit ribosomal RNA
Rfam family: 5.8S ribosomal RNA (bases 1-122)
Source: RNAcentral
GAUGAAGAACGUAGCGAAAUGCGAUACUUGGUGUGAAUUGCAGAAUCCCGUGAACCAUCGAGUCUUUGAACGCAAGUUGCGCCCGAAGCCAUUAUGCCGAGGGCACGCCUGCCUGGGUGUCACACGUCGUUGCCCCCCCAUCUACUCCUUCGGGAUUGCGGGGGGCGGAUGAUGGCCUCCCGUGCGCCUCGUCGCGCGGUUGGCAUAAAUGCCAAGUCCUCGGCGACGCACGCCACGACAAUCGGUGGUUGCGAAAACUCGGUUGCCCGUCGUGUGCGGUCGUCGCGCAUCGAGGGCUCGAAAAAAUUGCCGGGCUCCGGCUCGGCUUUCAACGCGACCCCAGGUCAGGCGGGGUUACCCGCUGAAUUUAAGCAUAUCAAUAAGCGGAGGA